AUUGAACGCUGGCGGCAUGCCUUACACAUGCAAGUCGAACGGCAGCACGGGAGCAAUCCUGAUGGCGAGUGGCGAACGGGUGAGUAAAGUAUCGGAACGUGCCCAGUCGUGGGGGAUAACGUAGCGAAAGUUACGCUAAUACCGCAUACGAUCUAUGGAUGAAAGCGGGGGAUUGCAAGACCUCGAGCGAUUGGAGCGGCCGAUAUCAGAUUAGGUAGUUGGUGGGGUAAAGGCACACCAAUCGGACGAUCUGUACCUGGUCUGAGAGGACGACCAGCCACACUGGGACUGAGACACGGGCAAGAGUCCUACGGGAGGCAGCAGUGGGGAAUUUUGGACAAUGGGCGAAAGCAUGAUCCAGCCAUGCCGCGUGCAGGAUGAAGGCCUUCGGGUUGUAAACUGCUUUUGUACGGAACGAAAAGGUUUGGCCUAAUAAGCUGAGCUCAUGACGGUACCGUAAGAAUAAGCACCGGCUAACUACGUGCCAGCCGCCGCCGUAA
RNAcentral lists this ribosomal RNA (500 nucleotides) under uncultured bacterium. RNAcentral's name for it is "partial 16S ribosomal RNA". It matches the Rfam family "Bacterial small subunit ribosomal RNA", at positions 30 to 523 of the family's 1533-position model. The record is from RNAcentral.